RNAcentral lists this long non-coding RNA (1128 nucleotides) under Homo sapiens (human). Its description in RNAcentral is "HSALNT0088838". The record is from RNAcentral. Lineage: Eukaryota; Metazoa; Chordata; Mammalia; Primates; Hominidae.
UCCAGGGUGGGAGGAUCCACUUCCAAAACGUCUCACUCACAUGACUAUUGGCAGAAAGCCUCAGUUCCUUGAAAAUGUGGACUUCUCUGCAGGCCUUCUGGAGUGUCCUCCUGACAGCAACUGGCCUUUCCCAGAGAGAGUGAUCCAACAGAGAGAGCAAGUAGGAUAUAGCUGCGCCUUUCAUGACAGCCUCAGAAGCCACAAAUCACCGUGUCUGCUAUGUUUUAUUCAUCAGAAGUGAGUCGCUGAGUCCAACCAUAUUCACAGGGAGGCAAAGUAAGCUCUACCUCUUAAAGGAAAGGAGUAUCCAAGAAUUUGUGGAUAUAUUUUAAAACGGCCACGCAAUCCACCAACAUCUUUUUGAUUCCUGACUUCCCUUUGUAGAUUCUAUACUGUGACUUGAAGAACAGUUGGCAAAUGGGUCAAAAGCCAGUAGAUGGACCUCAGAUGGACAGAAUUCAACUCAUCACAUUUCUUGGUUCUUGACACGCUCUCCUCGUUAGUCCAUCACAUAUUGCACGGAUUCAUUCAUAUCGCUGCAUGUAGGCUGCUUUGACCUGCUGUAGAAUAUCUCAUUGUGUGGAUGCACAUGUGGAUCACUGAGUAUGUCAGAGCUGGCAAGAUACGUCAGAAGAGAAAGGAGAAACUCUUAACUAAAUAGAGUUGGAAAUAAAAUAAUUGUCUGUAUGGAAUAAGAUCAAAGGUCCCACAUGUUAAAGUCAACCCCAGAUGAAUUAAAGUCUUACAUGUCAAAAAAAAUUGAAACUUUUAGAAGAAAAUUAAGGUGGAUAUAUUUUAGACCUUAAGGUAGAGAAAGAUUUCUUAAAGAAGACACUUACAGGAUUGAUUACAAACAAAAAGACUGGUACAUUUGAAUGUAUUAUGUUAAGAACUUUUCCACCAAAAGAAAGCCUCGAUUUCCUCAUUUUUAAGAUGAGGAUAAUAAUCCCUACCUUAUAGAAUUCUAAUAAGAUGAAAUGAAGCAACAUAUACAAAAUACUUAGCACAGGCUUCAGAAGGUGAACCCAGAGAGCAGGCUGUUUCUGUCCAUGGGAAAGCAGGAUGGUACAGCCCAUAUCUGAUUCAGAAACCAACAGUCAAACCAUUCUCCCCUGAGACUAAAGCAGA